Salvelinus fontinalis (brook trout) is the source of this 4423-nucleotide RNA transcript. It is a transcript of the gene named sodium channel subunit beta-2-like, with no coding region annotated. The transcript has 6 exons. Lineage: Eukaryota; Metazoa; Chordata; Actinopteri; Salmoniformes; Salmonidae. The record is from RefSeq and is a predicted model, not a curated record.
GACACCCACAACCAUAUAAUCAACCAUUUCUACAGCUACAGUCACUGCCAGCCAUAUCAUAGCACUGAAAAAAUAACACAUAUUUUAAGCUUUUUUUAAAGUAAAACAGAAGAUUUGACGAUAUUUGUAUUUUAAUCAUAUAGCGUGACGUUUUACUACAAGGAGAUACAAUGCAUUUUACAUUACAAAAGCGAAAUAAGACGUGGAUGCCAGCUAUCAACUUGAGCAUCGUGGGAUUGGUGGUUUAUAUUAUGGCCUGCCCUGUGUCCAGUAUGGAUGUGCUGGUCCAUAACCAGAUCAACGUCCUGAACGGCACCAUGGUGAGGAUCCAGUGCAUCUUCACCUCCUGCUACAAGAUGGACGUCAAUAAGUUUGCCAUGAACUGGACCUACCAGGAGAACACCAACGAGACUGAGGAGAUGUUCAUGACCUAUAAGAAGGGGAUGAUGCCCCUGCGGACAGACCAGUUCAGUGACCGGGUGCAGUUUGUGGGUAACCUGGAAAAGAACGACUUGUCCAUCACCCUCUCUGAUGUCCAGCUGUCGGACGAGGGCGUCUAUAACUGCUACGUCCGUAACCCCCCCGACCGCAUCCAGGGCCACGGAAUCAUCAACAUGUUUGUCGUCACAGAAUUGCCUCCCCCGCGGGACUCGACCAUAGCGGUGGCGAUCGGGGCGUCAGUCGGCGGUGCGCUGGCUCUGCUCAUCCUGUCCAUGGUGGUGGUGAAGUGUAUACGGCGUCACAAGAAACAAGAGCUCAUCUCUGACGAGCAGAAGAUGGAGGAAGAGGGCAAGCUGGAUGCAGAGGGGUGCCCCGAGGAGGGAACCAAGCAGCUAUAACCGGCCUGCAUGGUCCUGGAGGCCCAAGGUUCGCUGGAGCCCAACCUCCUCCCUCACCCCGGAAAGCAUUCCUGCCUGAAGAUGUAUAGUGACCCUUGCUUGAAUCCUCGUCCAGCAUCUGCCUCACCCCACGCCGCCUCCCUCCCUCCUCUUGUGCAUCCAAACAAGAUUGCAGUUAUGGGAAGCCCCAGCCACCAGCCACGCCACCCACGCCACCCCUGCCUCUAUCUGCAGUCAGUCGUAUCUCCUCUCUUCUUUGACGGGGAGCCACAAAAGGUGUAGGAGACUAGUAGACGGCAGUCUCCAAAAUACAUUUCUCUUUUUUAAGACCUUAAUUUGAUCACCCUGUAGCAGCAUGACUUUCCUACAAUGCAGGACAUUUCAAAUGUGUACUGUAUUUGAGGUUUAAAAAGGCUUCCGAAGUUUUCCCUCAUGAAAAAUGCAUCAACUCUUAAAAAAAUAGCAAUUCAUUCUAAUCCACAUAAUCAUUCACAUUUCCUGUUGCUGCAGGACUAUUUUCAUUCUGUAGAAAACUGGCUCAAAUUAAGAUCCUACAUCUGUAGAGUAAAUUGAUGGUUUGACAUCCGUGAUUACUGGGAAAGAUCAUGCUCUCUCUCUCUCUCUCUCUCUCUCUCUCUCUCUCGCUCUCUCUGUAUCGCUCUCUUAAAAUGUUGUCUUCUAACUUGCCACUCCAUUGGAUAACAAAUUAUUUACUUCCAAAUCAUAUAAUUCUCUCUCGCUCUCUCUCGCUCUAAUUUUCUUGCUCUAUCACAUUACUUAGCGAUGCAUAAUGGUUGGGGCAAAAAAGUUCCCUUUUUUUCUGACAGCUAGUGUGUGUGUGUCCAAAUUAUACCUUUCUGUGUGAGAAUGGUGUGGGUGGAUUUUUGGCUGUGUGUGUUAGUUUUUAUGUACAGUGUAUAAGCUUGUGAAUGACCUUCAGAUGUAACUACGAGCAGUGUGGGUGUAUAUAUAUAUGUUUGUGUGUGUGUGUGUGUGUGUGUGUGUGUGUGUGUGUGUGUGUGUGUGUGUGUGUGUGUGUGUGUGUGUGUGUGUGUGUGUGUGUGUGUGUGUGUGUGUGUGUGUGUGUGUGUGUGUGUGUGUGUGUGUGUGUGUGUGUGUGUCUGUGUGUGUGUGUGUGCGCGUGCGCGCGCGCGCGUGCGUGCGUGCGUGCGUGCGUGCGUGCGUGCGUGCGUGCGUGCGUGCGUGCGUGCGUGCGUGCGUGUGUGUGUGUGUGUGUGUGUGUGUGUGUGUGUGUGUGUGUGUGUGUGUCUGUGUGUGUGUGUGUGCGCGUGCGCGCGUGCGUGUGUGUAUUUGAGAAUGUGCUUGAGUGUCCUUAGAGUGUCCGAGUGUCUUUCCUUCAAACUCAGAGUCUCCCUCAAUGGAGAAGCCAGGCAUGAUUUUAUCAGUAGUCAACUCUUCUGAACCCUUGCUUCACCUCCAAUAUGAGAUGUUAGCCUGUGUUGCUUGCUCAUACAUCAAAACAACACACAUUUGUAUUGCUAUGAAUGAAGCUAGUACAAUAUCAUACUUAAGCAUGACUUUUUUUGCAUACAUUAAGACAGGCACAAUUCUGUCUACAAUGGAUGGAUCAUUAAUGGUCUGACAUUACAUACUAACUGACAUUGUACAAAAAACCCAAUCCCCAAAUGAUGUCCCCCUUUUGUCCACGUGCAGUAACCCUUACACAACACCUGAAUGUCCGGCCCUAGUUGGUCGUCGACACUCAAAUGAGCACACAGACACAUUGACUAUACGUCAUCCAACACAUAAGCUUCAAACACCACAUACAGCCGUGUAGCUGUUUUGCACAUCAGGAGUCCACACGCUGAGGCCUACACAUACGUAAAAGCUGAGCACUUUCAGGGAAAACCGAAAAAAAGUUCAAUAGAGAACAAUUUAUAUCAGAUACAUAUAUUUAUACGUUUUGACCAAAUACCAAGCUGUGCUCUAGAGGUGUGCUUUGCUUGCUGUCGCUAUUUACGUGUGGUCCUCACCGUCUUAAACUAUCAAUGUUUGAAUGUAUGAGGCCUCUCUCCUCUGAGGUAAUUGAUCUUGGGUGUUCUUUGGAUGUUACUUGUUUAGCUAUAUUAGUGUUGCACUGGUUGUGAAUGUAUUUGGGAGACAACGUGAGAUGUCCAAGUUGACGCAGCAACUACUUUUGAAAUGAAUAUACAAUCAAUCAUUCCCCUUUCCACCCAUUGAAUUUCAAACUACCUUCACCGAUGUAGGGCUUACGUUACAUUAUCAUACAAGUAUUAUAAUGUAUGUACGUCUGUGAAGGAUCACACAAAGUAGCCAAAAGCACAGAUAAACUGUGGAUUUGCUAAACAAUAUCACAACCGUAAAAUAGUAACAUUUAUUUAUUUUAGUCAAAAUUUGUAAAAUGUUAUCUUCAUUUGCUCCUUGUGUUUAAACGUCUUAGCUUUGUAUUUUCCAACAGACAGUUUUGGGGGAGCAGAUAGCCUAUGGGAGUGUGACUGUAGGUUGGCAGAAUAUGACUGGGUGCCUCUGGUGUUGUCUGAUGUGGUUUUAAGGCCUAAAGCCUGGGGCCACGCUGAUUCUGUGCCCAGGAGUGCCCUACCUCAUCUGGAGACAGUCUCUCCCUGUCUCUGCAAUGGGCACUGCAUGCAUAGGCUGCCUUUACGUUAUUCACUGCCAAAGCUUGUUUCUUUUAUACUUUGUUUCUUAUUAUUUGUCUCCUCAGAUCCUAUCCAUCCUAGUUUAGAUUUCAUUUGAUUGAGUAUUGUACUUUGACAUUGUUGAAUUUUGUACCACGUAGUUAUGUAAUUUGUACUUUGUGAUGUGACUUUGUGGUUGUCCUAGCUGUUGACAUUGUGGUAGCCAUCAUUACUUGGUCUUUGGUAAGUUGGCUUGAGUUUGGGGAGCUCACUACUGAAAGAUCAUGAAGUAAACAGUGGAAGGUCAAUGCUGAUUUCCACUUGUAGGGUGUACACACUCCCUUUCUUGAAUGACUUAAUUACUAAUUACUAUAUGAAUUCAUUAAACUCCUGUGCAAUUGUGACUGUGGUGUUAAUCAGUUUGUAUGGAGUCUGAGACAUCAGCUAGAAGCAUGGUUAGAAGUCUGUGAAGCUUGUGGUCAAAACCAGAGAAUAUAUCUCGAGGUCACAAUCAGACUUAAUUUUCAAAGUAAUGACGGUACCUCAAGAAUUAACCAAAAAAAAAACAUAUAAUUUAGAUUGUACUGUAUUUUAUACACGAACACACACACAGACACACAGUGCUACCGAUAGGUAGGGGACAGAGCACCUGUUCCGGGGAAAAAAAUAAAAUGUGUAGCCUAGUGAAAUCAACAUGACCUCCAUUUCUCCUGUCACUCACUCUGACGUCUCCGCUGGAGUCCUGAAUGCUGGGUAGCUAGCUGGGAUAGCGGAGGUCCCGGAGUUUUCCCUGUCUGUCUCUGUGUGAUCAUGCAUGUUGUUACUGCAGUGUUCCUCUGUGACGCAUGGCUCUAUCCAGGCCCUCUCGUACCGAACACCAGAAAUGCUUGCACUGUGCACUGUGUCUCUAAAAAUGAGCUGUAAUCAAUAUUGUAUUUUGAAAUAAAAAUGAGUACAUAAAUAUUA